UGGGGAAUAUUGGACAAUGGGCGCAAGCCUGAUCCAGCCAUGCCGCGUGUGUGAAGAAGGCCUUUUGGUUGUAAAGCACUUUAAGCGAGGAGGAGGCUACUUGGAUUAAUACUCUAGGAUAGUGGACGUUACUCGCAGAAUAAGCACCGGCUAACUCUGUGCCAGCAGCCGCGGUAAUACAGAGGGUGCGAGCGUUAAUCGGAUUUACUGGGCAUAAAGCGUGCGUAGGCGGCUUUUUAAGUCGGAUGUGAAAUCCCUGAGCUUAACUUAGGAAUUGCAUUCGAUACUGGGAAGCUAGAGUAUGGGAGAGGAUGGUAGAAUUCCAGGUGUAGCGGUGAAAUGCGUAGAGAUCUGGAGGAAUACCGAUGGCGAAGGCAGCCAUCUGGCCUAAUACUGACGCUGAGGUACGAAAGCAUGGGGAGCAAACAGG
Molecule: ribosomal RNA, 430 nt
Filed under: bacterium
Lineage: Bacteria
Description: partial 16S ribosomal RNA
Rfam family: Bacterial small subunit ribosomal RNA
Source: RNAcentral